GAUGAACGCUGGCUACAGGCUUAACACAUGCAAGUCGAGGGGAAACGACGGGGAAGCUUGCUUCCCCGGGCGUCGACCGGCGCACGGGUGAGUAACGCGUAUCCAACCUGCCUCUGACUGAGGGAUAACCCGUCGAAAGUCGGCCUAAUACCUCAUGGCAUCGUCUGCGGGCAUCCAACGACGAUUAAAGAUUUCAUCGGUCAGAGAUGGGGAUGCGUCUGAUUAGCUUGUUGGCGGGGUAACGGCCCACCAAGGCGACUAUCAGUAGGGGUUCUGAGAGGAAGGUCCCCCACAUUGGAACUGAGACACGGUCCAAACUCCUACGGGAGGCAGCAGUGAGGAAUAUUGGUCAAUGGGCGAGAGCCUGAACCAGCCAAGUAGCGUGCAGGAUGACGGCCCUAUGGGUUGUAAACUGCUUUUAUGCGGGGAUAAAGUGAGGGACGUGUCCUUCAUUGCAGGUACCGCAUGAAUAAGGACCGGCUAAUUCCGUG
Molecule: ribosomal RNA, 491 nt
Filed under: uncultured bacterium
Lineage: Bacteria
Description: partial 16S ribosomal RNA
Rfam family: Bacterial small subunit ribosomal RNA
Source: RNAcentral